AAGCAUACAUGUGAAAUGUGUAAAAGCAUAAGAGCUGCGUGCUAUGUAUGUAAAUUUCCUUACUGUCCAUUAACAGAAACAAUGCAGGAAUAAUGGCUUCCCCAUUUCAACUAUCAAGGGAUGGAAUAGAGAUGCAUUUUGCCACAAACCAUUUUGUAUCAACAAACCUUGGAAGUUUUGCCUUAGUUUUUGCAUUUACAUGCCUCAAACACGCCUUAUUUUCAAACUUUGUUUGAAAUUGCAGGUUAUUUCUUACUAACAAAGCUUCUUCUCGAAAGACAAAAUCAACAGUAAAAGAAACUGGAGUUCAUGAAGGAUUAUUAACGUAUCUUUGUCUGCUCAUAGAAGAGGGUAUGAACUACCAUUCAAUUUGGACAAGCUGAACGACAGAUCAAGACAUUUGCAGCUGAUUUGCUGUUCAUUUCUCAAAUAAAAAAAAAGAGAAGCUGACACUAUUUCGUCUUCUGGUAGCUACGAACGUUUUUCGCAAAUGGUCGACCCAAAUUGGUAAAUAUACUUCAUGCAAUUGAGCUAUCUAGGCAACUGCAGGAAAAGGGUUCCAAUGUCACAGCCAACUCACACCCAGGAUUAAUUCAGACAAAUAUAGCACGCUUCCUAGGCUUUAGUGAUGGGAAUUUGUUUGAAGCCAUUUUGCAAGACCAUCACAUUAGGAAAAAAUGUCAAUUUUGUUUCUAUUUGUGGAAGAAAUCGUAAAAAAGGGUGAAGAUUGAGAAAAACUAAUUUCUUUCAUGAAUAUAAUAGUAGUUUGAUUUGAAAAGCAUUCAAAUCUGCAGAGCCCUGCAACGACUUGUUAUCUCACUCUAUAUCAAGAUGUAAAAGAUGUGACCGGCAAAUACAAAAUCGAUUGCAACGCAACAAAUCCUUCAACCGAAGCAAGGGACGAAGUUUUAGCCAGCAAGCUUUGGGUAUUCAGAGAAAAGAUGCUUAGAAAAAAUGUAAAAUAGAACGAAAGCAAACAGCCUACUAUUUAUGACUUAAGAUGAUUUAAAAUUGUAAUGUUUAUGUAUGACAUAUUAUUACUAAAACAUUUUUCAAUUGGGAUGCUAACUUAUGAUACA
Phalaenopsis equestris is the source of this 1079-nucleotide long non-coding RNA. RefSeq lists it as uncharacterized. The record is from RefSeq and is a predicted model, not a curated record. The transcript has 3 exons. Lineage: Eukaryota; Viridiplantae; Streptophyta; Magnoliopsida; Asparagales; Orchidaceae.